GAUCAUGGCUCAGAACGAACGCUGGCGGCAUGCCUAACACAUGCAAGUCGAACGAGGGCCCCGCUUCGGUGGGACCCUAGUGGCGCACGGGUGAGUAACGCGUGGGAACCUGCCCUGUGGUACGGAAUAACUCCGGGAAACUGGAGCUAAUACCGUAUGUGUCCUUUGGGACAAAGAUUUAUCGCCAUGGGAUGGGCCCGCGUAGGAUUAGCUUGUUGGUGGGGUAACGGCCUACCAAGGCUACGAUCCUUAGCUGGU
This 258-nucleotide ribosomal RNA is filed under the name uncultured bacterium. RNAcentral describes it as "partial 16S ribosomal RNA". It matches the Rfam family "Bacterial small subunit ribosomal RNA", at positions 15 to 291 of the family's 1533-position model. The record is from RNAcentral.